Molecule: ribosomal RNA, 498 nt
Filed under: uncultured Acidobacteriota bacterium
Lineage: Bacteria; Pseudomonadati; Acidobacteriota
Description: bacterial SSU rRNA
Rfam family: Bacterial small subunit ribosomal RNA
Source: RNAcentral
AGAGUUUGAUCAUGGCUCAGAAUCAACGCUGGCGGCGUGCCUAACACAUGCAAGUCGAACGAGAAAGUGGAGCAAUCCAUGAGUAAAGUGGCGACCGGGUGAGUAACACGUGACCAAUCUACCCUUGAGUGGGGGAUAACCUCGGGAAACCGGGGCUAAUACCGCAUAAUAUCUCUGGAUCGGAAGAACUGGAGAUCAAAGGAGCAAUUCGCUUAAGGAGGAGGUCGCGGCUGAUUAGCUAGUUGGCGGGGUAAUGGCCCACCAAGGCAAAGAUCGGUAGCCGGCCUGAGAGGGCGCACGGCCACACUGGAACUGAAACACGGUCCAGACUCCUACGGGAGGCAGCAGUGGGGAAUUUUGCGCAAUGGGGGAAACCCUGACGCAGCAACGCCGCGUGGAGGAUGAAGUCCCUUGGGACGUAAACUCCUUUCGACCCGGACGAUAAUGACGGUACGGUGGGAAGAAGCCCCGGCUAACUUCGUGCCAGCAGCCGCGGUA